RNAcentral lists this unclassified non-coding RNA (3700 nucleotides) under Octopus sinensis (East Asian common octopus). RNAcentral's name for it is "integrator complex subunit 8, transcript variant X4". Lineage: Eukaryota; Metazoa; Mollusca; Cephalopoda; Octopoda; Octopodidae. The record is from RNAcentral.
UCUGACUUUGUAUGCAAGUGUGUUUUUGAGACGAAGGAACCGGGUGGUAAUUCUUUGCAAACCCAUAAAAGCCAGGAAUAUAUCAAUUAAUGGCAUAAUUAACUCUUAAUUAGCUGUUAUUUCACAACAUUCCUUCGACAAUGAGUGAAUGUGUGAUGUCUUCGUCAGGCCGACCUGGCAUGGGGCCCAUAACCCUGCCUGCGGUCGCCUGGUUUGAAUUCCUCUUAGACGAAUCUUUACUCGAAAAACAUUUGAAUGAACUCAACCCAGAUCCAACCCCAGGACAAAUGAUAGUCCUUUUCAUGCAACAGGCUGAAACUCACAGCAAUGCUGCUCUCCCUACUCACAAUAAAACCAAUUCGGAAUUGAGUAACAACCAUACAGGAUCUGCUGACAUCAAAUCAGAAGAUAUUCCAGAAAUAAAGAUGCCAGGGUUUAACAAAAAGGUCAAAGCCUUGAAGAUUCUUGCUCUGAAAGUUGCUGCAUUUCUUAAGUGGGAUUUGGAAGUUUUAAGUAAAAGCCUUCCAUUAACCAUGACCCAGACCUUGCUGCUUGAACUGGUGAGGACCUGUGUGGGGAGUGGAAGCAUCGAGAAAGUUAAUACAGUUCAGGAUUACGACAAUUUGAGUGACGAGGCUGCGUUUUCCAUGCAGCUGUUUCACAGAUGGAGUAUCGAAACAGUUGUUAUGGAUACUUUUCCCAACCGUCCACAAAAGACAAGUUUUGUAUCUGUACCUGGAGUACAAGAAACUAUGUUUACCUUGGCAGGUAUCAAUGAAUCUCUAAUUCGACUUUUGAAAGAUCAAAUAAAAAGUUCUGUUGAAAAUCUGCAGACAUUUCUUCAGUGUUGUCGGAAUAUUAAAGUUCCAACAUUAUCGUAUUUUUCAAUUCCCACUGAAAAUACUGAUCCAUUGGAGAAUGUUUCCGAUCACUGUGUCAAUGUUUCGGUGAAUGAAUUUAAAACUCAGGUGUCCUAUUCUUUGGGGAUGUACUUUUUCCAGUUAGAAGAAUAUUCUGAAGCAUAUGAAAUGUUCAAGAUCACAGAAGAAUCUUUUGUACCACGAGGUUACUACUGCCGAGUGAACGAUGAACAUCUGAGAGGCUAUCUGGUCGCCUGCCGCAAUAUGUUGUCCGUCUCGUUGCCUUCUUCAUACACCCUGUCUCAUUUUGAAAGAGCAGAAGAAUCAAAAACCAAAAACUAUGAGGGUUUAAUUGAUAUUCUCAUGGAGGACAAUAUUAAAAAAGAACUUUCUAAAGAAUACCGUCACCAAUUAUUUGAAGAAAUCAGUCGGAAACCAGUGAGUGAUAUCAGCAUGCUGAGUUUCCAAGUGAAUGCCUGUAACAUCGUGUCAGAGGUCAUGGAUGGAAAGGUGGUGAUAUCAGCAUUUAUGGAUGAGAUGCGAAGUGAAGGACAGAAAGGGGCGGAGUUCCUUCUAUCUGUGUUAUCGCAUGCUAUCAAAGCCUCAAAUGAUACCCAAAGAGAAUACCUGAAAGGGUUUACAGGGUACCUUGCUCAGCUCUUGCCACGAGAAACGAAGUUUGUCGCUCUGCUCACAAAAAGUGAUGUUUAUUCCUACCUGACCGAAAAUGAACGUGUUGAAAUGUUAAACUUUGAAGACAGGGAAGAUGUCUUCUGCGAGGAAAUCUCCUGUGAUUAUGGCACGAUGUCUUACCCAGAUUCUGUGUCUGCGGUCAGUGAAGCGGAACGACAAAUCUUGUAUGAGUGCAAUCCACAGAAGGUCGAAGAUUUGAUCAUUAAGCUGACGCAGAAGUGGGGUCGACAUCCGAACCAAAUAAUGGCCCUCACUGAUUGGCAGGUCCCUAAACCACUGCGCCAAAUGCUGGAGAGUAUGCCAUCUAGUAUGCAGCAAACGUACGCUUAUAUAUUGGUGGGCAAGUCACGCCAUUGCCUAAAGCUGAAGGCCUACAACAUGGCACGGGACCUGUUAACAUCUGCCAUGAUGGCAAUAAAGGACUACAACUUUGCCCUCACCAAGCACCAUCAGUACCAGAUGCUGCUGGUUGACCUGUAUCAGGCCGACAGCAGCGUAUGCAGCAAUGACAAACUGCAUGAAUUGGCCAACAAGGCCAAGUCUUGUUUGAACACUGUCAGAUCUGGACAAGACACCCCUCCGACACCGGAAGUUGUGGAACAAGCUGCUGUGUUCUUGCUGAAUGUCAAAGACUGGGAAUAUCUCAGUAAUAUGGAAGGUUCCAGUAAUGGUUUUAUUGAGGUCAGUCUUCUUUUGGCAAGGGCUUGUAAAGAAAUCAAUGGAACCAAGACUGCUCGUAAACCAGCUCGGGAUUUCUGGGAAGCAGUGGGGAAUAUCUUUUCUGACAAUCUUUCUCAGAAAAGGUCGAUUACAGGUCGUGAAACAAUGAUACAUCGGAACAAUUCUUUGGCAGUGAUGUCAAAAGAAAGUUUCUGUCAGUUUAUCAAGAAAAUCAAGGAACCAACCAUACUUAGUUUCUUAAUUUCUUGUUUGACCAAACUGUACAAUAUUUUGAAGGAUAACAUCAGUAGUGAAAUCUUCAGCAAUUACAUCACCAUUUGGCCAACCAAUAUAAACAAUAGCAGUGCCAUGGAUACAGCUGCCUUAGCCGAAUGCGUGUCCCUUCUGAUGCACCAUGCUUUAUCUCAGGAUCCCUUAAACCCGUCAUGGUUGAGAACAGAAGCAGACAUUCAGUUUGCUCACAAUCAAUAUAGCUGUGCAAUGAAGUAUUACCUGGAAGCUGGUCUUGCGGCAUCUAACUACUUUUCCAUUCCAGUACCUCACCCUAUAUACGAUGAACAGGUCUACAGAAAGAUGAUCAAAUGUUGUUCCUAUCUCCAGUGUCACACACAGGUUGCCAUCCUUUGUCAGUUUCUUGAAAACAUUGACUACACGACGGCGUUCAAAGCCCUUCAAGAGACGACCAUCUAUGAUGCCCAAGACAUCUACUACUACUUCAUCUGGGACCUCAGCAUACUGGAAUUCCUCUCACAUUUACAUGCUAAACGAGGAGAACAGGUUAAGAAACAACAAGUCAUGAAAGCUCUGGGCCAGAUGGAUUUGAAUGUCUGCAACCCUGAAGACAUUCUGCAAGAAGCAACUCAGCAUCGCAAGAACAACUUCCUUCGUUCACUGGCCAAAUUGUACUUAUGAUGACGAUGACGACGACGACGACGACAACGGUGAUACACAAGUAGCAAGAGAGAAAGAAAGAGAGAGAGAGAGAGGAAGAUGGUGGUGGAAGUGCUUGAGAAAAAGGCACGAAAGAGCAGAAGUGGACAGCAAGAGAAAGUGGAGACAGCAGUGGGGGUGGGGGGUGGGAUGGACAUAAAGAGGAGGAGAAGGAGUGGGGGGGAAGAGGAUGAGAGCGAUGUGGUGUGUGUGUGUGAGUGGAGGGGAUGAGGGUGGGAUCAUCUUGUUGGUCCCAAAUUGAUGAUACUUGAGAAAAAAGUUUGAAGUCUUCUCUGUGACACUAAGUUUUGUUGAAACACAUUACCAACUUCCUGCCAAUGAUUGAUACACUAGUAGUAGCAGCAGCAAUACUACUACUACUACUACUUCUUUUUCUUCUUCUAGUCUUACUAUCUCUGCUUGAAGUUCUCUUCAUGGCACAAAUCUUAACAAUAUUUUUUUUGUUCUUGUCUUUCAUUAUUUCCAGACAAAAGAAGUUUUCGUUGUUUCAAAACAUUAAAAAAACAACAACAGCA